UUGUGUUUUCAUUUAGAAACAUUUCAAAUAGACAAUCAAAUCAGCUUCAAUUGUGCGCCCUUAAAGUUCAUUUCAUUUAUGAAUUUUGUUAGAUUUAGCUUAUCUUCAUGGCUUCAAAUUUUUGGUUGCCUUCUUAUGACUGCAUGCUUGUGUUUGUCGUCGGGCUCAGAGUCACAUGUCAAUGUCAGCAAAGACUCUUGGGAGUUCGUGCUACCCGAUAGAGAAAGCUUCCUGGGCUCCGAUUGCGCCGCUCGAAGUCCCUAUUUCUGCUACAAGCAUUUCUGGACAAAUUAUACUCGUGAAAGGCGAAGUCGUUCAGUCCUUGACAUGGCAAACUUCAUUCGAAUGAUACAGCCGAUUUACUUGAAACUCAACUGGUUCUCUUUCAGAAAAAUCGACCAGCC
Symsagittifera roscoffensis is the source of this 404-nucleotide long non-coding RNA. RefSeq lists it as uncharacterized. Lineage: Eukaryota; Metazoa; Xenacoelomorpha; Acoela; Convolutidae. The transcript is spliced from 3 exons. The record is from RefSeq and is a predicted model, not a curated record.